Non-coding RNA from Cyanistes caeruleus (blue tit), 1131 nucleotides. Lineage: Eukaryota; Metazoa; Chordata; Aves; Passeriformes; Paridae. The record is from RefSeq and is a predicted model, not a curated record.
UCAGCCAAGCACCCUCCAUGCCCGGCUGAGCCGAAGUGGCCGCCGCCCGCCACUAGAGGCUGCUCCACACCUCAUUAAAUAAACAGAAACCGCAAUUAACGCACGAGAUCCUGGACGGGAAGGCUUUGACCUCCCGCUUCCCACACGCGAGAAAGAUGCGGGACAUCGCCAGGAUCUGAUCCCCGCAAUGAGUUUGUGAUGUGCAGCGGCAGUUCUGCUCAGCACUCCCGGGGCCUUUGCCAGGCAGAGCCCUGCAGAAAACCCAUCUCCACAGGUGCCCCUUGCCCCCUCACGGGGAGGUUCGCAGAGGUUUUAUUUGUGAGUGCUGUGCCAGGCUUCAGACCGUUCCUCUUCCAGCCUUCUCCAUGUUUGUUUGCAUCAUGGGCUCCUUCCUCCCCACACAGCUUUGAAAAGGAAGCCUCACACUUGUCCGUUGCCUUCCCCUUUGCACACACAUCCCUGUGCCUGCGCUCGCUCAGACACACGGGGCUGCGCCGUGCGGCAAAUUGCUUAUACACAUAAAUGGACAAUGAAUGAAGGAGCUGGUUCUGGGGGACAGAGCUUUCUUACUCUGCGGUGCCUUUUGGUCUAUCACAAUCUUGAAGUGGGUAUCCAAUGUCUGGAUAAAUCUGCUGGAAAACAAUAGACAGCCAAUUCCAGUGCCUGGAUGAAGACAAAAACACCCAUCAAAGAAGGACAAAUGCAUGAAGUUCUGCUAAUUCCAAGAUCACCUGAGGGCAAGUUUAGCUGGUGCUGAUGCACACACAGCACCAGGGCUUUGCCAGGUGUCAUCUGCAAUUGGUUGUGAGUAGAAGGUGUUAAAAUGCAAGGGAUAUUUUUUGUGUGGGUGCUGGAGUGAGCUGAGUUUGAUGAGUCAUUGUUGAGUGCACGUUGGAGAAGUCAAUGCAGAGCAGGUGUUAUUGGCAAUUUUGGAGUGAAAGGCAGGAAGUCAAUUGUGGAGACUCCACUACAGCCUACACGGUGUGGAGACACUUUGUACAACAGUAAAAGUGCUAAUACCAAUGAGGACAUUGAUACACACACACAUUGCAAAUGAGCUUCCCCUUUACCAGCACAUUUCAAUUGUGCCCAUUUGCUUUGGUAUUGAAACAGUUACACCAGGCCACUGAA